AAAUUAGCGGAUGACUUGUGGCUGGGGGUGAAAGGCCAAUCAAACCGGGAGAUAGCUGGUUCUCCCCGAAAGCUAUUUAGGUAGCGCCUCGUGAACUCAUCUUCGGGGGUAGAGCACUGUUUCGGCUAGGGGGUCAUCCCGACUUACCAACCCGAUGCAAACUACGAAUACCGAAGAAUGUUAUCACGGGAGACACACGGCGGGUGCUAACGUCCGUCGUGAAGAGGGAAACAACCCAGACCGCCAGCUAAGGUCCCAAAGUCAUGGUUAAGUGGGAAACGAUGUGGGAAGGCACAGACAGCCAGGAUGUUGGCUUAGAAGCAGCCAUCAUUUAAAGAAAGCGUAAUAGCUCACUGGUCGAGUCGGCCUGCGCGGAAGAUGUAACGGGGCUAAACCAUGCACCGAAGCUGCGGCAGCGACACUAUGUGUUGUUGGGUAGGGGAGCGUUCUGUAAGCCGUUGAAGGUGGCCUGUGAGGGUUGCUGGAGGUAUCAGAAGUGCGAAUGCUGACAUAAGUAACGAUAAAGCGGGUGAAAAGCCCGCUCGCCGGAAGACCAAGGGUUCCUGUCCAACGUUAAUCGGGGCAGGGUGAGUCGACCCCUAAGGCGAGGCCGAAAGGCGUAGUCGAUGGGAAACAGGUUAAUAUUCCUGUACUCGGUGUUACUGCGAAGGGGGGACGGAGAAGGCUAUGUUAGCCGGGCGACGGUUGUCCCGGUUUAAGCAUGUAGGCGGAGAGUUUAGGUAAAUCCGGACUCUUGUUAACGCUGAGGUGUGACGACGAGGCACUACGGUGCUGAAGUAACAAAUGCCCUGCUUCCAGGAAAAGCCUCUAAGCAUCAGGUAACAUCAAAUCGUACCCCAAACCGACACAGGUGGUCAGGUAGAGAAUACCAAGGCGCUUGAGAGAACUCGGGUGAAGGAACUAGGCAAAAUGGUGCCGUAACUUCGGGAGAAGGCACGCUGAUGGUAAGUAAAGCGACUUGCUCGUGGAGCUGAAAUCAGUCGAAGAUACCAGCUGGCUGCAACUGUUUAUUAAAAACACAGCACUGUGCAAACACGAAAGUGGACGUAUACGGUGUGACGCCUGCCCGGUGCCGGAAGGUUAAUUGAUGGGGUUAUCCGCAAGGAGAAGCUCUUGAUCGAAGCCCCGGUAAACGGCGGCCGUAACUAUAACGGUCCUAAGGUAGCGAAAUUCCUUGUCGGGUAAGUUCCGACCUGCACGAAUGGCGUAAUGAUGGCCAGGCUGUCUCCACCCGAGACUCAGUGAAAUUGAACUCGCUGUGAAGAUGCAGUGUACCCGCGGCAAGACGGAAAGACCCCGUGAACCUUUACUAUAGCUUGACACUGAACAUUGAGCCUUGAUGUGUAGGAUAGGUGGGAGGCUUUGAAGCGUGGACGCCAGUCUGCGUGGAGCCAACCUUGAAAUACCACCCUUUAAUGUUUGAUGUUCUAACGUAGACCC
RNAcentral lists this ribosomal RNA (1461 nucleotides) under Klebsiella terrigena. Its description in RNAcentral is "bacterial LSU rRNA". It matches the Rfam family "Bacterial large subunit ribosomal RNA", at positions 794 to 2234 of the family's 2925-position model. The record is from RNAcentral. Lineage: Bacteria; Pseudomonadati; Pseudomonadota; Gammaproteobacteria; Enterobacterales; Enterobacteriaceae.